This is a non-coding RNA of Vicugna pacos (alpaca), 1806 nucleotides long. The record is from RefSeq and is a predicted model, not a curated record. Lineage: Eukaryota; Metazoa; Chordata; Mammalia; Artiodactyla; Camelidae.
UCCACGGGGGAGGAGGGGGCAGGACUAGAGAAAGAGGCCUCUUCAGUCCUGAGAUAGGAGGCCUUCUAAUGAUGAACAACUUGCAGAGUGCGGCUCCAAAUACAGUCGUAAAACGGUUAUUUGAGAAAACAGGCUUUCACUGCGCAAAUAGAUAAAGAAAGCGUGAAGCCGGGUGAACGCUGUCCCCUUCGGAUCUUGGCACAGUGGUUGCGCCUAUCCCGAGCUUGCGCAGUCAGCGCCUCCCCAACCGUAGCCCCGGCCGCCUAGACCCCCUCCGCGACAUCCCACGCCGCUCCCCUCCCCCACUGUCGCGAAGCUCCCGCCCGGGCGGACCACGUGCUGCGAGCCGGGCGGGGAGAGACCACUCUCGCACCACUUUGGCCUUCUCGAACCCGCUGGGCUGCACUCCACAGCCCCUGUACCGGGUCGUCUCGGAUUUCAUUUAGUUUUUCAUUUUUUUGCUGAUAAUUGCUCUGAGGUUCUAACCUAUUAAAGGGACCUAUUACAGACGUGAAGGAAUAGAGUGCGCUGCCUGGGUUUGAAAGAGCAUUUAUGGAACGCAUUUAUGUGUUAGAGAGGGCUCUAAGCAUUUGCAUUUAUGAUGUAUUUCAUUGAUACCUAAUUAUAAUAGAUAACCUGUUAUCUCAUUUGAGACUCCCAACAACACUAGGAGGUAAGUAUUAUUUCUAGUCCUUUAUAAAUGGGGGCAGUUUAGGGAACUUGGUCCUCUCAAAUGUUGAUGGUCUGGGGCUUGAAUUCAGUCUUUCUCCAAAACCAAUACACCUUAGCUACUCCAUUAUUACUGCUUCUGCUGGCAAGGCACUGGAAGAUUGGAGCAGAAAGCUAAGAAAGGAUUUUUAAAACUCUUGAAAGUUAUGAAUACCUAUGUCCCUGUGUUAAACAAGUUGGCAUACACUUACAAAGCACCUACUCAAGCCAGCCACCUUGCAGGAUCCCUAUUGUGAUACAUUUAAGACUACUGAGGGUAUUUCGUUCAGAAAGGCCAUAGCUACCAUUGUGAGGAAUUCUAAUGGCCAAUGAAGCAGACCUUUUGCUGCUGUUGCUGCUGUUCCUGCCACUGGGUCCUCGAGGUGCCUGACCGACCUGCUCUGUUUCUCCCAUCCCUACGCAGAAAACAUGGCCACCAACAGCUCCUGAGUCCACCUGGAGAGAGACUGAUUCUCUGUCAUAAGCAUCUGGCUGGGAAGGGACUGUGACUGGCUGAUCUGGUGUCAUGUGCACCCUGCUGUUAAUCAACCAUGACUGUCUAAUGGUCCAUCACCAGACUGGAGUUAAUAGCAUGCAGCGUGUUCACCAUCAUCAUCAUCCUUCCAGCUGCUCUGUGUCUGCUUUGGGCAAGUUUUCCAGAACAAUUCAGUUUUACAAACAAAACAAUGAGGUGAGUUUCCACCUCAUUGAAAUACACUUAAAAAGCUGUGAAUUACUUUCCCCCAAAAUAUUCCCGACUUCCAAAUUCACCUGUCAUUUAAAAAUUACUUUUUCCUCAUUUUAACUUUUGUCACUUUUCCUUCUACAAAGAUCACUGAGGUUAUUAAAAAAUAACUCCAGUAGCAUGUGUCACUCUACUUCUUUACAUCUGCCUUGCCUUUGGUCUCAUACGUGAUUAAAAGAAAAAUCACUUACUUUCAAAUAUUUGUUUCUUCCCUACGCUGUGAAUUUUUCCAGUGUUAUUUUAACUAGUUUGCUUACAGUGGGAAAUUCGUUUCUAGUGCUCUUUUUUUUUAUAGCAUAUGAACAUAGAGUAAAAGACUAUGAGGUAGCAAAUAUCCUAAUUAAUAGAUAAUC